RNAcentral lists this ribosomal RNA (301 nucleotides) under uncultured bacterium. RNAcentral describes it as "partial 16S ribosomal RNA". It matches the Rfam family "Bacterial small subunit ribosomal RNA", at positions 509 to 807 of the family's 1533-position model. The record is from RNAcentral.
CAGUCGCCGCGGGAAUACAGAGGGUGCGAGCGUUAAUCGGAUUUACUGGGCGUAACGCGUGCGUAGGCGGCUAAUUGAGUCGGAUGUGAAAUCCCCGAGCUUAACUUGGGAAUUGCAUUCGAUACUGGUUAGCUAGAGUGUGGGAGAGGAUGGUAGAAUUCCAGGUGUAGCGGUAAAAUGCGUAGAGAUCUGGAGGAAUACCGAUGGCGAAGGCAGCCAUCUGGCCUAACACUGACGCUGAGGUACGAAAGCAUGGGGAGCAAACAGGAUUAGAUACCCCAGUAGUCCCUGUCUCUUAUAC